This 426-nucleotide ribosomal RNA is filed under the name uncultured bacterium. Its description in RNAcentral is "bacterial SSU rRNA". It matches the Rfam family "Bacterial small subunit ribosomal RNA", at positions 356 to 773 of the family's 1533-position model. The record is from RNAcentral.
AGGGAAUCUUCCGCAAUGGACGAAAGUCUGACGGAGCAACGCCGCGUGAGUGAAGAAGGCCUUCGGGCCGUAAAACUCUGUUGUUAGGGAAGAACAAGUACCGUUCGAAUAGGGCGGUACCUUGACGGUACCUAACCAGAAAGCCACGGCUAACUACGUGCCAGCAGCCGCGGUAAUACGUAGGUGGCAAGCGUUGUCCGGAAUUAUUGGGCGUAAAGCGCGCGCAGGCGGUUUCUUAAGUCUGAUGUGAAAGCCCCCGGCUCAACCGGGGAGGGUCAUUGGAAACUGGGGAACUUGAGUGCAGAAGAGGAGAGUGGAAUUCCACGUGUAGCGGUGAAAUGCGUAGAGAUGUGGAGGAACACCAGUGGCGAAGGCGACUCUUUGGUCUGUAACUGACGCUGAGGCGCGAAAGCGUGGGGAGCGAAC